RNAcentral lists this ribosomal RNA (503 nucleotides) under uncultured bacterium. RNAcentral's name for it is "partial 16S ribosomal RNA". It matches the Rfam family "Bacterial small subunit ribosomal RNA", at positions 30 to 523 of the family's 1533-position model. The record is from RNAcentral.
AUUGAACGCUGGCGGCAGGCUUAACACAUGCAAGUCGAGCGGGGUGAUGGUGCUUGCACUAUCACUUAGCGGCGGACGGGUGAGUAAUGCUUAGGAAUCUGCCUAUUAGUGGGGGACAACAUCUCGAAAGGGAUGCUAAUACCGCAUACGUCCUACGGGAGAAAGCAGGGGAUCACUUGUGACCUUGCGCUAAUAGAUGAGCCUAUGUCGGAUUAGCUAGUCGGUGGGGUAAAGGCCUACCAAGGCGACGAUCUGUAGCGGGUCUGAGAGGAUGAUCCGCCACACUGGGACUGAGACACGGACCAGACUCCUACGGGAGGCAGCAGUGGGGAAUAUUGGACCAUGGGGGGAACCCUGAUCCAGCCAUGCCGCGUGUGUGAAGAAGGCCUUAUGGUUGUAAAGCACUUUAAGCGAGGAGGAGGCUCUUUUGGUUAAUACCCAAGAUGAGUGGACGUUACUCGCAGAAUAAGCACCGGCUAACUCUGUGCCAGCCGCCGCGGUAA